This 65-nucleotide non-coding RNA is filed under the name Streptomyces cinnamoneus. The record is from RNAcentral. Lineage: Bacteria; Bacillati; Actinomycetota; Actinomycetes; Kitasatosporales; Streptomycetaceae. RNAcentral also lists the same sequence under 3 other names.
AGGCGAAACCUCCGAAAGGAGGUCGGCGGGAGGCGGUCCCUCCCCCCUGACGAUGCCAGCCCGCA